This is a non-coding RNA of Camellia sinensis, 744 nucleotides long. The record is from RefSeq and is a predicted model, not a curated record. Lineage: Eukaryota; Viridiplantae; Streptophyta; Magnoliopsida; Ericales; Theaceae.
AAUCUAUGGUUUCUCCUCUCUCUCUCUCUGUCCGUUUUGCUCUCUCUCUCUCUCUCGUUCUUUUGUUUCUGGUUUGGCUAAAUAGGACACCCCUCUCUCUCUCUUCUCUGGUCGUCUUCCCUAUUACCAUUCGUAAAGAUCGGAGUCAUAGGCUGUGCAGAGAUUGAUGAGGUAGCACUCUAAAAACUCUGAAAUUUUCUCUUCUUUGCUUUGAAUCUAUGGUUUCUCCUCUCUCUCUCUCUCUCUCUGUCCGUUUUGCUCUUUAUCAUCUCUUACUUUCGUCUCUUGCUUUCGAAGGCUUCUUGAAGAUCUCUAUCUUGUCUGGUAGCUUAUUGGUUCGAAAGAGUUCUCAUUGAAAAGCUUGCUCUUUAGCACAAUAUUUUGAUGAGAAAGUUCAGGCCAAUACUUGAAUGCAGUAAAUACUGGGGGAGAUAUGGAUAACAUUUGUGGAUUGACCAUGUAGAAACAAAUAAAUUUCAGAGUUUUACACAAAAUAAUAGCUCACCAGGAAAGAGGCAGUGAGGAUGCUAUAUACCUCUAGAAGGGAAUUUGGGUGACACAAGGCUAUCUUUCAUUAAAAGCUGCAUGAACUUCUCCCCUAUUUGUGUCUCUGAAUUUCCCUUCUCAAUGUCCAUAUCCACAAGGCAUGGGGGAUAAGGAUUCGCAUUUUCUAUGUCUAGAUUGACGUAGUUUUUGCUAUUCAAUUCAGCAUCCAAGCACAUCUGGCCAUCAGUUGAGUUGGGG